Molecule: ribosomal RNA, 388 nt
Filed under: uncultured bacterium
Lineage: Bacteria
Description: bacterial SSU rRNA
Rfam family: Bacterial small subunit ribosomal RNA
Source: RNAcentral
AACGAACGCUGGCGGCAGGCCUAACACAUGCAAGUCGAGCGCCCUCGCAAGAGGGAGCGGCGGACGGGUGAGUAACGCGUGGGAAUUUUCCUCAAGGUACGGAACAACUCAGGGAAACUUGGGCUAAUACCGUAUGAUGUCCAGCGACCAAAGAUUUAUCGCCUUGGGAUAAGCCCGCGUCAGAUUAGGUAGUUGGUGGGUAACGGCCUACCAAGCCUGCGAUCUGUAGCUGGUCNGAGAGGACGAUCAGCCACACUGGGACUGAGACACGGCCCAGACUCCUACGGAGGCAGCAGUGGGGAAUCUUGCGCAAUGGGCGAAAGCCUGACGCAGCCAUGCCGCGUGAAUGAUGAAGGUCUUAGGAUUGUAAAGUUCUUUCGCCCGUGAC